GGGGAUUUAGCUCAGUGGCAUAAGAGCCUGCCUUGCAAGCAGGGUGUUGUGAGUUCAAUCCCCG
Transfer RNA from Cavia porcellus (domestic guinea pig), 64 nucleotides. It matches the Rfam family "tRNA". From Rfam's summary of the family: Transfer RNA (tRNA) molecules are approximately 80 nucleotides in length. Their secondary structure includes four short double-helical elements and three loops (D, anti-codon, and T loops). The record is from Rfam. Lineage: Eukaryota; Metazoa; Chordata; Mammalia; Rodentia; Caviidae.